UGGGGAAUUGUUCGCAAUGGGCGCAAGCCUGACGACGCAACGCCGCGUGGAGGAUGAAGGUCUUCGGAUCGUAAACUCCUGUUGCCCGGGACGAAUGGCUUCGACCUAAUACGUCGGAGUAUGACGGUACCGGGUGAGGAAGCCCCGGCUAACUCUGUGCCAGCAGCCGCGGUAAUACAGAGGGGGCAAGCGUUGUUCGGAAUUACUGGGCGUAAAGGGCGCGUAGGCGGCCUGUUAAGUCGAACGUGAAAUCCCUGGGCUCAACCCAGGAACUGCGUCCGAUACUGGCUGGCUUGAAUCCGGGAGAGGUUGGUGGAAUUCCUAGUGUAGAGGUGAAAUUUGUAGAUAUUAGGAAGAACACCAGUGGCGAAGGCGGCACGCUGGGCCAUAACUGACGCUAAGACGCGAAAGCAUGGGUAGCGAACGGGAUUAGAUACCCCUGUAGUCCUGAG
Molecule: ribosomal RNA, 452 nt
Filed under: uncultured bacterium
Lineage: Bacteria
Description: bacterial SSU rRNA
Rfam family: Bacterial small subunit ribosomal RNA
Source: RNAcentral